Molecule: ribosomal RNA, 222 nt
Filed under: uncultured bacterium
Lineage: Bacteria
Description: partial 16S ribosomal RNA
Rfam family: Bacterial small subunit ribosomal RNA
Source: RNAcentral
UACUGCCUAGUAGUGGGGAAUAACCAGUCGAAAGACUGGCUAAUGCCGCAUACGACCUUAUUUCGUAUUGGAAUUGGUGAAAGCGGGGGAUCGUAAGACCUCGCGCUAAUAGAUGAGCCGAAGUCGGAUUAGCUAGUUGGUGAGGUAACGGCUCACCAAGGCGACAAUCCGUAGCUGGUCUGAGAGGACGACCAGCCACACUGGGACUGAGACACGGCCCAG